AAUUAGCAGCGUCGAACCGAACAAGCUCUGAUAAAUUUCCAAUCUCCGGUGGAAGACCAUUUUCAAAAGCGUUGUAAUAUCCGAUGUAAAGUUCACGAAGAGUCGUUAGGUUUCCGAUCUCCGGAGGGAUUUUACCGGUUAGCUCGUUACCGGAAACCGCUAAGUAUUCGAGAACAGGCCAGGUUCCGUACGUCGCCGGGAUUUUGCCGGAGAAGUAAUUCCCACCGAGGUGAAGAUGACGGA
This is a long non-coding RNA of Arabidopsis thaliana (thale cress), 243 nucleotides long. RefSeq annotates it as other RNA. The transcript has a single exon. Lineage: Eukaryota; Viridiplantae; Streptophyta; Magnoliopsida; Brassicales; Brassicaceae. The record is from RefSeq.